This 332-nucleotide long non-coding RNA is filed under the name Pan troglodytes (chimpanzee). Its description in RNAcentral is "long non-coding RNA NONPTRT017592". Lineage: Eukaryota; Metazoa; Chordata; Mammalia; Primates; Hominidae. The record is from RNAcentral.
CAGGACCCUAAGAUCCCAAUGACCACCCUCUCCUUGUGACAGAGUUACAGCUAUCCGGACCGGCUGGUGCUGGACCAGGGAGGAGAGAUCUUUAAAACCUUACACUACCUCAGCAACCUCAUCCAGAGCAUUAAGACGCCCCUGGGCACCAAAGAGAACCCCGCCCGGGUCUGCAGGGACCUCAUGGACUGUGAGCAGAAGAUGGUGGAUGGUACCUACUGGGUGGAUCCAAACCUUGGCUGCUCCUCUGACACCAUCGAGGUCUCCUGCAACUUCACUCAUGGUGGACAGACGUGUCUCAAGCCCAUCACGGCCUCCAAGGUACCCAUCAG